GCAUUCGUGGUCUAAUGGUAUGAUGUCUGCCUUCCAUCACAUCUGAGGUCAGCAUGCGAACCGGGUUCGAUUCCCGGCGGAUGCA
This 85-nucleotide transfer RNA is filed under the name Planoprotostelium fungivorum. It matches the Rfam family "tRNA". From Rfam's summary of the family: Transfer RNA (tRNA) molecules are approximately 80 nucleotides in length. The record is from Rfam by way of RNAcentral. Lineage: Eukaryota; Evosea; Variosea; Cavosteliida; Cavosteliaceae.